AUUCCAGCUCCAAUAGCGUAUAUUAAAGUUGUUGCAGUUAAAAAGCUCGUAGUUGGAUUUGUGGUGUACUUCGGCGGCCCGUCACUAUGUGAUGGAGCUUGCUGAAGUCGCCAUCCUUGGGUGGAUCCUGUGUGGCAUUAAGUUGUCGUGCAGGGGAUGCCCAUCGUUUACUGUGAAAAAAUUAGAGUGUUCAAAGCAGGCUUAUGCCGUUGAAUAUAUUAGCAUGGAAUAAUAAGAUAGGACCUUGGUACUAUUUUGUUGGUUUGCGCACCAAGGUAAUGAUUAAUAGGGACAGUUGGGGGUAUUCGUAUUUCAUUGUCAGAGGUGAAAUUCUUGGAUUUUUGAAAGACGAACUACUGUGAAAGCAUUUACCAAGGAUGUUUUCAUCG
Molecule: ribosomal RNA, 389 nt
Filed under: Cylindrotheca sp.
Lineage: Eukaryota; Bacillariophyta; Bacillariophyceae; Bacillariales; Bacillariaceae
Description: partial small subunit ribosomal RNA
Rfam family: Eukaryotic small subunit ribosomal RNA
Source: RNAcentral